RNAcentral lists this ribosomal RNA (461 nucleotides) under uncultured bacterium. RNAcentral's name for it is "bacterial SSU rRNA". It matches the Rfam family "Bacterial small subunit ribosomal RNA", at positions 28 to 507 of the family's 1533-position model. The record is from RNAcentral.
GACGAACGCUGGCGGCGUGCUUAACACAUGCAAGUCGAGCGAUGAGAUCACUUCGGUGAAGGAUUAGCGGCGAACGGGUGAGGAACACGUGAAGAAUCUGCCUUCAACUCUGGGAUAACUCCGGGAAACCGGGGCUAAUACCGGAUAUGAGCCUUGAUCGCAUGAUCGGGGCUGGAAAGUUUUUCGGUUGAAGAUGACUUCGCGGCCUAUCAGCUUGUUGGUGAGGUAAUGGCUCACCAAGGCGACGACGGGUAGCCGGCCUGAGAGGGCGACCGGCCACACUGGGACUGAGACACGGCCCAGACUCCUACGGGAGGCAGCAGUGGGGAAUAUUGGGCAAUGGACGAAAGUCUGACCCAGCGACGCCGCGUGCGGGAUGAAGGCCUCGGUUGUAACCGACUUCUAGCAGGGAAUAAGCGCAAGUGAAGGUACCUGCAGAAGAAGCACCGGCUAACUAUGUG